GAUGAACGCUGGCGGCGUGCCUAAUACAUGCAAGUCGAGCGAACGGGCGAGAAGCUUGCUUCUCUGAUGUUAGCGGCGGACGGGUGAGUAACACGUGGAUAACCUACCUAUAAGACUGGGAUAACUUCGGGAAACCGGAGCUAAUACCGGAUAAUAUUUUGAACCGCAUGGUUCAAAAGUGAAAGACGGUCUUGCUGUCACUUAUAGAUGGAUCCGCGCUGCAUUAGCUAGUUGGUAAGGUAACGGCUUACCAAGGCAACGAUGCAUAGCCGACCUGAGAGGGUGAUCGGCCACACUGGAACUGAGACACGGUCCAGACUCCUACGGGAGGCAGCAGUAGGGAAUCUUCCGCAAUGGGCGAAAGCCUGACGGAGCAACGCCGCGUGAGUGAUGAAGGUCUUCGGAUCGUAAAACUCUGUUAUUAGGGAAGAACAUAUGUGUAAGUAACUGUGCACAUCUUGACGGUACCUAAUCAGAAAGCCACGGCUAACUACGUGCCAGCAGCCGCGGUAAUACGUAGGUGGCAAGCGUUAUCCGGAAUUAUUGGGCGUAAAGCGCGCGUAGGCGGUUUUUUAGUCUGAUGUGAAAGCCCACGGCUCAACCGUGGAGGGUCAUUGGAAACUGGAAAACUUGAGUGCAGAAGAGGAAAGUGGAAUUCCAUGUGUAGCGGUGAAAUGCGCAGAGAUAUGGAGGAACACCAGUGGCGAAGGCGACUUUCUGGUCUGUAACUGACGCUGAUGUGCGAAAGCGUGGGGAUCAAACAGGAUUAGAUACCCUGGUAGUCCACGCCGUAAACGAUGAGUGCUAAGUGUUAGGGGGUUUCCGCCCCUUAGUGCUGCAGCUAACGCAUUAAGCACUCCGCCUGGGGAGUACGACCGCAAGGUUGAAACUCAAAGGAAUUGACGGGGACCCGCACAAGCGGCGGAGCAUGUGGUUUAAUUCGAAGCAACGCGAAGAACCUUACCAAAUCUUGACAUCCUUUGACAACUCUAGAGAUAGAGCCUUCCCCUUCGGGGGACAAAGUGACAGGUGGUGCAUGGUUGUCGUCAGCUCGUGUCGUGAGAUGUUGGGUUAAGUCCCGCAACGAGCGCAACCCUUAAGCUUAGUUGCCAUCAUUAAGUUGGGCACUCUAAGUUGACUGCCGGUGACAAACCGGAGGAAGGUGGGGAUGACGUCAAAUCAUCAUGCCCCUUAUGAUUUGGGCUACACACGUGCUACAAUGGACAAUACAAAGGGCAGCGAAACCGCGAGGUCAAGCAAAUCCCAUAAAGUUGUUCUCAGUUCGGAUUGUAGUCUGCAACUCGACUACAUGAAGCUGGAAUCGCUAGUAAUCGUAGAUCAGCAUGCUACGGUGAAUACGUUCCCGGGUCU
RNAcentral lists this ribosomal RNA (1371 nucleotides) under uncultured bacterium. RNAcentral's name for it is "bacterial SSU rRNA". It matches the Rfam family "Bacterial small subunit ribosomal RNA", at positions 28 to 1381 of the family's 1533-position model. The record is from RNAcentral.